CCCACACAAGAAUAACACUGCAACAAAUGCAUAAUAUAAGUAUGAAAACGGUUGGACAAAUGUUUCUUAAUUUAUAUAAACUUAUCAAUUGUAAACCCAAGAAUUGGCAGUCCAUUUUUGUUGCAUUUGGCUAUGACAAAUGGGCAUUAGCUAUGUUAGUUUUAUGAAAAGUAAAUGUUGUUAGUUGGAUAUUAAAUGCAAUCUAAAAGUUGUUGGUAGGAUAUCAAAUGUAUUACUAGAAGUUGUUAGAGGUUGUUAGAAGAUUCUAGAGAUCUCUUGUAAUUAUUACUUUAGGAUUUGAGUUCUCUAUAUAUAGGAGUU
RNAcentral lists this small RNA (321 nucleotides) under Vigna angularis var. angularis. RNAcentral describes it as "Non-protein coding transcript". Lineage: Eukaryota; Viridiplantae; Streptophyta; Magnoliopsida; Fabales; Fabaceae. The record is from RNAcentral.